RNAcentral lists this transfer RNA (35 nucleotides) under Solanum lycopersicum (tomato). RNAcentral describes it as "tRNA-Ile". Lineage: Eukaryota; Viridiplantae; Streptophyta; Magnoliopsida; Solanales; Solanaceae. RNAcentral also lists the same sequence under 1 other name. The record is from RNAcentral.
UGGGCCAUCCUGGACUUGAACCAGAGACCUCGCCC